GAUGAACGCUAGCGGCAGGCUUAAUACAUGCAAGUCGAGGGGCAGCAUGACUGUAGCAAUACAGUUGAUGGCGACCGGCAAACGGGUGCGGAACACGUACAGAACCUUCCUUCGAGCGGGGAAUAGCCCAGAGAAAUUUGGAUUAAUACCCCAUAGUACAACGGAGUGGCAUCACUUUGUUGUUAAAGAUUUAUCACUUGAAGAUGGCUGUGCGGCUGAUUAGGUAGUUGGCGGGGUAACGGCCCACCAAGCCUGCGAUCAGUAACUGGUGUGAGAGCACGACCAGUCACACGGGCACUGAGACACGGGCCCGACUCCUACGGGAGGCAGCAGUAAGGAAUAUUGGUCAAUGGACGAAAGUCUGAACCAGCCAUGCCGCGUGGAGGAUGAAGGUCCUCUGGAUUGGUAAACUUCUUUUAUAUGGGACGAAAAAGGGUUUUCUAACUCGUCUGACGGUACCAUAUGAAUAAGCACGGCUAACUCCGUGCCAGCAGCCGC
RNAcentral lists this ribosomal RNA (498 nucleotides) under uncultured bacterium. RNAcentral's name for it is "bacterial SSU rRNA". It matches the Rfam family "Bacterial small subunit ribosomal RNA", at positions 28 to 518 of the family's 1533-position model. The record is from RNAcentral.